CAUAAUUAACAUAAAUAAAUAAAAUGCUGUGGGCGAUAUUAUCGAUAGUUAUUUCUCACAGAUCGACAUUAUCUACUAUGACGUCACGGACGGCCAGAUGGCUGCGUGAUAACGCAAAUGCGUUCGGAGGUCCCAGAUCCGGCAUUCCACCAAAACAGUUUUUUCGGGAUUCCGGGCGCUGGCUGGCGGUCCCUAGUCUUCACUAUCUGGCCCCCUCCAAGGAUGCGAGUGCAGUCCGUGGUUGGAACUAAUUCCGCCCCUUAGUAAUACCAUUGAUAGUAAAAGGGCAUAAAAACAGUUUUUUCGGGAUUCCGGGCGCCGGCUGGCGGUC
Molecule: long non-coding RNA, 331 nt
Filed under: Androctonus crassicauda
Lineage: Eukaryota; Metazoa; Arthropoda; Arachnida; Scorpiones; Buthidae
Source: RNAcentral